This 1141-nucleotide long non-coding RNA is filed under the name Piliocolobus tephrosceles (Ugandan red Colobus). Its description in RNAcentral is "lncRNA (ENSPTEG00000004389.1)". Lineage: Eukaryota; Metazoa; Chordata; Mammalia; Primates; Cercopithecidae. The record is from RNAcentral.
AUGUAUGCACAUAUAAAUGACUCUAAUGGGACUGUUUCUACCUUUGUUAUUUCAUUUGUUUUUGUUUUUUUUCAAACAUCCCAAUCUUUGAUCGCUUCAAAGAAAAACUUAGUUUACUUUAUGUACAACCAUAACAAUGUUAGAAAAAAAGAAAAAUAUAUUUGCACAAAACUAAAUUGUAAAUUGGAAGGUAUAGAAUAUAAAGUUAAGGAUUUGAAUAAGUCAAUUGAUUUUUAUAAAAAUGUGUUAGGUUUUAAAGAAUUAGAAAGAAACACGAAUUUUGUCAAAAUGGUACUAGAUGUAAAGGAUGCAUAUAUAAAAUUAAUACAAAAGGGAGAGCAAAAUAUGAUCAUACCAGAACAUGCGUUUUUAGGAUUAGGUAUAAAUUCAAAAAAAUUCGAAAUAAGUAAAACCAAAACAUAUGAAGGAAAGGUAGAAGAAGAAAUUGAAAAAAGACCUAUCACUGCUUGUAUAUUACCAGAUGAAGACGCACAAGAAAGGAAGUACUGGACCAACUGCUUUAUAACAGACCCAGACGGUUAUGGUAUAGAAGUGGUAUUACAGGAGGAAACUGAUGAAAAUAAGCUCGAUAGGAUUAGGCUUUUUACAACAUCAACAAAAGAUGCGCAAAAGUUUUAUUCCGAUAUUUUAGGAUUCGAGCUAAUAAAAAUACAAAGCCAUUUAAACGAAAUUUCUUAUCCAUGGAAUAUUUAUGGAGGAAUGAGUUAUUUUUUUUCUUCUAAAAAAAAUAAAACAAUAUUACAAAUGGCUUAUGCUUAUGAUGAAGAUAAGCUUCACAUGGGAAAUUCCUUAGGCAAUUUGAUUAUAAGUAUUGAAGAUUUAAAUAUUGUAGAAAAAAAAACUAAAUGAAAAUAAUUUAAAAAUAGUCAAGACCGAUGAUGGCAUUAAUGUUAAAGACUUGGAUGGAUAUAGUGUUCGUUUGGAAGGAAUUACAAAAUAAUCUAAGUAGUAAAAAUUAUUUUUGCCUUUUAUUAAUCAUUAAAAUGUGUAUAUAUGUGUGGGUGUACAUAUAUACGCACUUAUACUGUAAAUAUUUUACAUUGACAAAAUGUCAAUUUUUAGCAAAAGCCAUUUUUUUUUUAAAUUUAUGUCAAUGUUAAUAAAUAAUAAUGAACGUUCA